CCUACGGGGGGCUGCAGUGGGGAAUAUUGGACAAUGGGGGCAACCCUGAUCCAGCCAUGCCGCGUGUGUGAAGAAGGCCCUCGGGUUGUAAAGCACUUUCAGUGAGGAAGAACGCCUGGUGGUUAAUACCCAUCAGGAAAGACAUCACUCACAGAAGAAGCAACGGCUAACUCCGUGCCAGCAGCCGCGGUAAUACGGAGGGUGCGAGCGUUAAUCGGAAUUACUGGGCGUAAAGCGCGCGUAGGUGGCUUGAUAAGCCGGUUGUGAAAGCCCCGGGCUCAACCUGGGAACGGCAUCCGGAACUGUCAAGCUAGAGUGCAGGAGAGGAAGGUAGAAUUCCCGGUGUAGCGGUGAAAUGCGUAGAGAUAGGGAGGAAUACCAGUGGCGAAGGCGGCCUUCUGGACUGACACUGACACUGAGGUGCGAAAGCGUGGGUAGCAAACAGGAUUAGAUACCCUAGUAGUC
RNAcentral lists this ribosomal RNA (465 nucleotides) under Vreelandella stevensii. RNAcentral's name for it is "partial 16S ribosomal RNA". It matches the Rfam family "Bacterial small subunit ribosomal RNA", at positions 338 to 795 of the family's 1533-position model. The record is from RNAcentral. Lineage: Bacteria; Pseudomonadati; Pseudomonadota; Gammaproteobacteria; Oceanospirillales; Halomonadaceae.